UCCCUGUUACCGGGGCAGUCUAGCUAGAGAAAUACAACUAACUAUAAGGGUUGCGCUCGUUAAUGGACUUAACCAAACAUCUCACGACACGAGCUGACGACGGCCAUGCAGCACCUGUCACUGGAUUCCCGAAGGCACUCUCUCCUUUCGGAGAAAUUCCCAGGAUGUCAAACCUUGGUAAGGUUCUUCGCUUUGCAUCGAAUUAAACAACACGCUCCACCGCUUGUGCGGGUCCCCGUCAAUUCCUUUAUGUUUUAAGCUUGCGCUCGUACUCCACAGGCGGGAUGCUUAACGCGUUAGCUUCGCUACUACCAGGGUCGAUACUGAUAACAGCUAGCAUCCAUAGUUUACGGCGUGGACUAC
RNAcentral lists this unclassified non-coding RNA (363 nucleotides) under uncultured bacterium. RNAcentral describes it as "contains 16S-23S intergenic spacer region". The record is from RNAcentral.